GACGAACGCUGGCGGCGUGCUUAACACAUGCAAGCCGAACGCUGAAGCUCAGCUUUUGUUGGGUGGAUGAGUGGCGAACGGGUGAGUAACACGUGAGUAACCUGCCUCCUUCUUUGGGAUAACGCCCGGAAACGGGUGCUAAUACUGGAUAUUCACUGGUCUUCGCAUGGGGGUUGGUGGAAAGGGUUUUUCUGGUGGGGGAUGGGCUCGCGGCCUAUCAGCUUGUUGGUGGGGUGAUGGCCUACCAAGGCUUUGACGGGUAGCCGGCCUGAGAGGGUGACCGGUCACAUUGGGACUGAGAUACGGCCCAGACACCUACGGGAGGCAGCAGUGGGGAAUAUUGCACAAUGGGCGCAAGCCUGAUGCAGCGACGCCGCGUGAGGGAUGGAGGCCUUCGGGUUGUGAACCUCUUUCGCUCAUGGUCAAGCCGCAACAAUGGUUGUGGUGAGGGUAGUGGGUAAAGAAGCGCCGGCUAACUACGUG
Molecule: ribosomal RNA, 483 nt
Filed under: uncultured bacterium
Lineage: Bacteria
Description: partial 16S ribosomal RNA
Rfam family: Bacterial small subunit ribosomal RNA
Source: RNAcentral